RNAcentral lists this long non-coding RNA (936 nucleotides) under Homo sapiens (human). RNAcentral's name for it is "HSALNT0150773". Lineage: Eukaryota; Metazoa; Chordata; Mammalia; Primates; Hominidae. The record is from RNAcentral.
UGGAGAAGAGUGGCUUCUCUUUCUCUUCCCCUUCCAAAUCCUGAUUUCCUCCUAGGCACUUUUGUCUGAACCACGUGGCACAAAUUGGCAGAGAACAAGGAAAAGAAGAACAGAGGAAGGAGAAAAGGAGAAAAGUCAUUCUGCUGAAAACGAGCUGACUGAGUUGGCUUGGCUGUACAUAGGAGGAAGACCCUGAUCCCUGGUGCUCAACACAGAAAUGCUUCAAUGAUACCCUGAGAUUGUUUUACCUUGCAACACUCUCUGGAAAAUUGCUGCUCCAGGAAUGCGAUGAAAAGAUCUGUAAGAGAGCACAGCCCCUGUUGAUUGACUUGUCUUGAUCAAACCAGAGCUUCUGGCUGGGAUACUGGUAUCUUGAGUGAGUCACAGCAGGAGAUACGUGCUGGAGCUGAAGAGGUUGGAGAGGCAGCAGAAAAGACAUUUACAACCAAGUGACCCCACCUGGACUCACGACUUGUGACUCAACCGGUCCUGCGGUCUCCCACCCAGAGGCAGAGUCAGUGCACGAGGACUGUUUUCCACACCCCUAUGAUUGCAUUCCCAACCAAUCAGAAGCACUUAUUCCCUAUUCCCCUGCCCACCAAAUGAUCCUUGUAAAACCCAAACCUUCAAGUAUUCAGGGAGAAUGAUUUGGGUAAUAACUCCAGCCCUUGUGCUCAGUGGCCUUGCAUUAAUUUAAUUCUUUCCCUAUUGCUAUACCACUGCAAUAGGGAAAGUCUUGGUGAAUAGGUUUUGUGUGUGCAGUGGCAGGAAGAACCUGUCAGUUGAUUACAAUCCCUCCAACCUAGAGAUAACUACUUUUAAAAUUCUUGGAUUAUGUCUAAAUCAUAUCUAUAUAACUCUCUACCUACACAUCCUUGUGUAAACAUGCACAUAUACACACACCCAUAUGCUAUAUAUAUAUAUGCAUCAAGUUUU